AACGAACGCUGGCGGCAUGCCUAACACAUGCAAGUCGAACGAGACCUUCGGGUCUAGUGGCGCACGGGUGCGUAACGCGUGGGAACCUUCCCUUAUGUUCGGAAUAACUCCCCGAAAGGGGUGCUAAUACCGGAUAAUGUCUUCUGACCAAAGAUUUAUCGCCUUUGGAUGGUCCCGCGUUGGAUUAGCUAGUUGGUAGGGUAAAAGCCUACCAAGGCGACGAUCCAUAGCUGGUCUGAGAGGAUGAUCAGCCACACUGGGACUGAGACACGGCGCAGACUACUACGGGAGGCAGCAGUGGGGAAUAUUGGAAAAUGGGCGAAAGCCUGAUCAAGCAAUGCCGCGUGAGUGAUGAAGGCGUUAGGGUUGUAAAGCUCUUUUACCCGGGAUGAUAAUGACAGUACCGGGAGAAUAAGCUCCGGCUAACUCCGUG
This 433-nucleotide ribosomal RNA is filed under the name uncultured bacterium. Its description in RNAcentral is "partial 16S ribosomal RNA". It matches the Rfam family "Bacterial small subunit ribosomal RNA", at positions 29 to 507 of the family's 1533-position model. The record is from RNAcentral.